UACGUAGGUGGCAAGCGUUGUCCGGAUUUAUUGGGCGUAAAGCGAGCGCAGGCGGUUCCUUAAGUCUGAUGUGAAAGCCCACGGCUCAACCGUGGAAGGUCAUUGGAAACUGGGGAACUUGAGUGCAGAAGAGGAGAGUGGAAUUCCAUGUGUAGCGGUGAAAUGCGUAGAUAUAUGGAGGAACACCAGUGGCGAAGGUGACUCUCUGGUCUGUAACUGACGCUGAGGCUCGAAAGCGUGGGGAGCAAACAGGAUUAGA
This 259-nucleotide ribosomal RNA is filed under the name uncultured prokaryote. RNAcentral's name for it is "partial 16S ribosomal RNA". It matches the Rfam family "Bacterial small subunit ribosomal RNA", at positions 524 to 782 of the family's 1533-position model. The record is from RNAcentral.